This 80-nucleotide small RNA is filed under the name Flavobacterium sp. 120. RNAcentral describes it as "Flavo-1 RNA". It matches the Rfam family "Flavo-1 RNA". The record is from RNAcentral. Lineage: Bacteria; Pseudomonadati; Bacteroidota; Flavobacteriia; Flavobacteriales; Flavobacteriaceae.
UUUUAGCCCUGAUAAAAGUGGAAAUCCUGUCAUUGCUUCUUCCUCGCAAUGACAGAUUGUAACGAAUAGCAGGAAAUAGC